AUGACUCUUCUCAAGGAGAAAGUCUUGAAGGGCAUAGUAUUAAGGCGGACAAAAAUUGGCCGAGCUGCAGAUCUUGCUCUUCCACCGAAGACUGUGACAUUGAGGCAGGACUCUUUUGAUAGAAAUGAAAUGGGGUUUUAUGAAGCAUUAUAUACUCGAAGCUGCACGCAGUUUGAUUCGUAUGUUGUUGCUGGAACGUUGCUGAACAACUAUGCCCAUAUCUUUGACCUCCUCACAAGGUUGAGACAGGCUGUUGAUCAUCCAUACCUUGUUGCAUUUUCCAAGACAGCAGAAUCUCGGGAAGGAUGCAAAAAUCAACAAAAUGGUGCCAUGGAAAGCCAGUGUGGAAUAUGUCAUGAAUUGGCAGAAGAUGUGGUGGUUACGUCUUGCGAUCAUGUAUUCUGCAAGAGUUGUUUGAUGGAGUGCUCUGCAACUUUGGGGAAUGUUUCAUGUCCAUCUUGUUCAAAGCCUCUUACUGUUGACUUAACAACGGAAAAUUCGAGACGAAAGGUCCCUGCAAAUUUGAAGGGUGGCAAACGCUCAGGAAUACUGGGCAGACUACAAAGCCUAGCAGAUUUCAAGACAAGUACAAAAAUUGAUGCAUUGAGAGAAGAGAUAAGGAACAUGAUUGAGCAUGAUGGUUCUGCAAAAGGGAUUGUUUUCAGCCAGUUCACAUCGUUCUUGGAUUUGAUUGAAUUCUCCCUGCAGAGGUCUGGCAUCAAGUGUGUGCAACUUAAUGGGAAAAUGAACAUGGCGGAAAAGGGGAGAGCUAUAGAUACCUUCAUAAAUGACCCAGAUUGCAGGAUUUUCCUGAUGAGCCUGAAAGCUGGAGUGGCUCUUAAUCUUACUGUAGCAUCUCAAGUUUUCUUGAUGGAUCCUUGGUGGAAUCCAGCAGUGGAGAGUCAAGCGCAGGAUCGAAUCCACCGAAUCGGACAAUUCAAGCUAAUUAGAAGCACGAGGUUUGUGAUCAAGGACACAGUUGAAGAGCGCAUCCUGCAACUGCAAGAGAAGAAGCAGCUUGUGUUCGAUGGCACCGUGGGUGACUCGCCAGAGGCCAUGUCAAAGCUUACAGAGGCUGACCUCAGGUUCCUGUUCCAGAACUAG
This 1104-nucleotide ribosomal RNA is filed under the name Triticum aestivum (bread wheat). RNAcentral's name for it is "partial small subunit ribosomal RNA". The record is from RNAcentral. Lineage: Eukaryota; Viridiplantae; Streptophyta; Magnoliopsida; Poales; Poaceae.